UGUCAUACCGCUGCAAAAAGACUUUCCUAACACAUGUUUUCAUGAUGAUCUUCGAGAUACUUCACUUCACUGUCCUGCGGUCUCAAAAUGGACAACAUCAACGAACAUGGAUGAAAGUGAAAUUCCAUAGACUAGAGAUGAUUGUGAAGCAUUCCAACUUUGGAUAAUAAGUAGGAUGUUGAGGUGAAUAGUGGAAGUUUUGCAUUUCCUACAACUAUAGAACAAGAUAAGAAAGGGAAGAGAAAGCAUGGGCCCACAGGGAUGAAGGAGAUUAAUUGUGUCAGCAGCGAGGGUCGUAGAAG
RNAcentral lists this unclassified non-coding RNA (302 nucleotides) under Hevea brasiliensis (rubber tree). The record is from RNAcentral. Lineage: Eukaryota; Viridiplantae; Streptophyta; Magnoliopsida; Malpighiales; Euphorbiaceae.